GAAGCCGAGGCAGGCGGAUCACCUGAGGUCAGGAGUUCGAGACCAUCCCGGCCAAUAUGGCGAAACCCCGUCUCAACUAAAAAUACAAAAAUUAGCUGGGUGUGGUGGCAUGCACCUGUAAUCCCAGCUACAUGGAAGGCUGAGGCAGGAGAAUUGCUUGAACCUGGGAGGCAGAGGUUACAAUAAGCCAAGAUUGCACCACUGCACUCCAGCCUGGGUGACAGAGCGAGACUCUCUCUCAAAAACAAAAACAAAAAACAAACAAAAAAUAACAACAGCAAAAAAGAAUGACACAAUGGACUUUGGGGACUUGGGGGAAGAGUGUGGGGGGAGGGAGGGAUAAAAGACUACAAAUAGGGUUCAGUGUAUAUUGCUCGGGUGAUGGGUGCACCCAAAUCUCACAAAUCACCACAAAAGAACUUACUCAUGUGAGCAAAUACCACCUGUACCCCAAUAACCUAUGGGGAAAAAAGAGAAGAAUAUACAAAAAAUUUAAAAACUGGGCCGAGCGCAGUGGCUCACGCCUAUAAUCCCAGCACUUUGGGAGGCUGAGGAGGGCAGAUUACCUGCGGUUGGGAGUUUGAGACCAGCCUGACCAACAUGGAGAAACCCCGUCUCUACUAAAAAUACAAAAUUAGCCGGGUGUGGUGGCGCCUGCCUGUAAUCCCAGCUACUCAGGAGGCUGAAGCAGGAGAAUCGUUUGAACCCGGGAGGCGGAGGUUGCGGUGAGCCGAGAUGUGCCAUUGCACUCCAGCCUGGCAACAAAAGCGAAACUCCGUCUCAAAAAAAAAAAAAUUAAAAAACAAUUUUUAAAAAGAAAAUCUGGGUUCAUAGUUGGUGGGCCAGUGGCACACGCCCGUAGUCCCAGCUACUUGAGAGGCUGAGGCAGGAGGAUCACUUGAGCCCAGGAGUUUGAGACUACAAUAAGCUAUGAUGGUGCCACUGCACUGUAGCCUGGGUAACAAAGCAAGACCCCGUCCCUCAAAAAAAAAACAAAAGAAAAGAUCUGAUUCAAAUCUAGCUUUAUCUGACUCCCAAGCAGCUAACAGCGGCAACAAUUGGCAACGACCACUGCUACUCACGGCUGCCUGGGCUAAGCACUUUACAAAUGUGAUGUCAUUUAAUCCUCAUAAAGGUGAUAGGUUUUUUGCUUUUUGGUUUUCUUUAGACGGAUCUCAGCUCACUGCAACCUCCACCUCCUGGGUUUAAGCAAUUCUCCUGCCUUAGCCUCCCAAGUAGCUGAGACUAUAGGUUCCCACCACUACGCCCAGCUAAUUUUUGUAUUUUUGUAGAGACAGAGUUUCACUAUGUUGGCCAGGCUGGUCUUGAACUCCUGGCCUUGUGAUCUGCCUGCCUCAGCCUCCCAAAGUGUUGGGAUUACAGGCGUGAGCCACCGCGCCCAGCUGGAUAGGUUUUAUUAUUUACAUUUUACAGCUGAAGAAAAUGAGUUGCAAGGGAGGCUGAGUAAGCCCAAAGUCACUGAGGUCUGUCUCACGCCAUUCUCUUCAGCAAGUCACUCCAUGGCCUGCAUCCUCCACAACCAGGAGUCUCCAGCCUCCUCCCCCAGGGCAGAUUUUGUCUGAAUCUCAAAGAGUUGGAAAGGGAGAGGGCAGCCACACAGAGUUCCCGCUGACAACCACCACUCUAGACUGGGUUAGUGGAUCAGGUUGACUGGUGUUGGGGGCCAGGGGUACAUGGAAUCCUAUGGCCAUCUGGAUGUCAGCAAGUGCAGGGCACAGUGGCUCACACCUGUAAUCCCAGCCAAAGGAGGAGGAUCACUUGAGACAAGGAGUUCAAGACCAGUCUGGGCAACAGAGACCCCAUCUCUACAAAAAAUAAAAAAAUUAGCUGAAUAUGGUGGCCUGGACCUGUAGUCCCAGCUACUUGGGAGGCUGAGGUGGGAGGAUCACUUGAACUCAGGAGGUCGAGGCUGCAGCAAGUUUUCUGAUGGAGAUGCUCUUCAGAGCCUGGAGGUCAAGGAGACAGAAAGACGGAAACUGAUCCUACUUGUGUUGUGGGUUGAAUUGUGCUCUCCAAAAAGUUAUGUUCAAGUUCUAACCCUUAGUCCCUGGGCAUGUGACCUUGUUUGGAAAUAGGGGUCUUUGCAGAUGUAAUCAAAUAAGAUAAACUCAUAAUGGAUUAGGGUGGGCCCUAUAUUCAAUGACUUGUAAGAGGAGGGACCCCUAUGUGGAGAUAGAGGUAGGGAUGGAAGGAUGAGCUACGGCCCACAGAAUAUCAAGGAUACACAACAACCCUGAAAAGCUAGAAGGAGGCUAGGAAGGACUCUUCCCUAGAGCCUCAGAAGGAGCAUGGCCCUGCUGACUUAGGACUUCUGAUGGCAGAACUGUGAGAGAAUGAAUUUCUGUUGUUUUAAGCCAUCUAGUUUGUGAUUACGUGUUAUGGCAAAACUGGAAAACGAAUAGAGUUUGGUUGUUCCAUAGGGAUUUGGCUUCACAUCCAGAAUAUGCUAAUUAUUGUCCACAUGUCACGUGGGCUUGGGUGGUGGGACAGAGUUUUAUCCUUUUCUUUUCUUUUUUUUUUUUUUUGUGACAGAGUCUUGAUCUGUCGCCCAGGCUGGAGCGCAGUGGCGCGAUCUCGGCUCACUGUAACCUCCACCUCCUGGGUUCAAGCCAUUCUCCUGCCUCAGACUCAUGAGUAGCUGGGACUACCGGUGCAUGCCAGCACACCCGGCUAAUUUUUGUAUUUUUAGUAGAGAUGGGGGGUGGGUUCCACCACGUUGGCCAGCCUGGUUUCAAACUCCCGACCUCAAAUGAUCUGCCCGCCUUGGACUCCCAAAAGUGCUGGGGUUACAGGCAUGAGCCACCACGCCUGGUUGUGAGUUUUAACCUUGACCCUGAUUUAUUUUAUUAUCCUCUUGGAUGAAAAUUAAGAAUGUCUCCAUUCAAAUGGGUAGAUUGUGCAAAACCCGGAGAGAUGGUUAGUACUGAAGACAGGAUCUAUAUUCAAAAACACCUCAAAGAACAGCAAAAAUGCACUAAGACCUACAAUGUGAAAUGAACACGGACAAAGUUCUUGAUGUAGGUUCAAGAGCCAGUUGCACCAAUGGAGAAUGAGGAAUCCCUGGCUUGAUGACAGCUCACAUAAAAAAAGAUAUUGGCUGCAAGCUGAGUAAGAGUCAACAAUGCAUUCAGUCGUUUGAAAAGCCAGUGCAUCUGUAAGUGGCUUUGCUGCCAAGCAGAAUUGAGCUGAGCAUGCCACUGGCCUCUGGGCUGAUCGGGGCACACCUGAAGCUUCAUUCAGCCCUGGGUGCUGAAUUUUAGUGCCACAUUUGACAUUACUCAGCAUCCAGGAAAGACAGCCAGAAAAGUGAGAGGUCUGGAAACUGUCAUGAAAGACAAUCAGGAGAAUUAGUGUUGUUUUGAGGCAGAAAUUUAAAGAAACAUAAGUACUGCAUUUAUUUACUUUAAGGAUAGUAACAGGCAAGGCUAUAAAAAGGUCGCGGUGACCUAGUCUGAGAAGCAAAAGCUGCAAGAAUAGGCUCCAGACACCCCCGAGCAUGGUUGAAAAACAAAAAAUCCCCAAAACCAAAUUCCUUGACUGUCUCUCCUUCUCUGAACUAAUAAUUCUGACUAUGUUUGCCAAUGCUUGUACUUAGUCAGAUUUGUAAGUUCCUGUUUUCUUUUGCCUCAGCUGCAAGGUUACCCGCUAUGCAAGGGCACAGGUUGUGCCAAGUCACUAGUUAUGCUGUAGAUGACAGAAGCUGUCACUGUGUGAUUGACAGCCUUUGCGCUGGCCUAUAUAAGCUAAACCCUGACUUUGUUCAAUGCUCAGCUUUUUGGAUACGAAUCCUCUGAGCUGGUGCACCUUAAAUAAACAUCCUCCUGUUUCCCGUAUUGGUCUCUCCAGUCCUCUGUUCCUCGCAACAGUUUCCCCUGAAGAUGAGAAGACGUGGGAAGAGGGGACUUCUGUAAACAUUGACCUGCUUUUGUGAAGCACAGGGAGUGGGUGUGCUAGGAGAAUGGUUCCUAACUAGCGGCUUCUGUGCUGAUGAAGGCAAACAGCAGUCUCAGUCUUUUUUUUUUUUUUUUUUUUUGAGACAGAGUCUUACUCUGUUGCCCAGGCUAGAGUGCAGUGGCGCACUCUCAGCUAACUGCAACCUUCACUCCCUGGGUUCAAACAAGCACAUCUGUCUAAUUUGUGUAUUUUUAGUAUAGAUGGGGUUUCGCCAUGUUGGCCAGGCUGGUCUUGAACUCCUGACCUCAAGUGAUUCGCCUGCCUCCGCCCCCCGAAGUGCUGGGAUUACAGGUGUGAGUCAUCGUGCCUGGCCUAGUCUCAGUCUUCAGACACAGGGGAGACCUGUUGGUUUUGCAGCGUCUUCUCUCUUUCUAAUAAAAGCAUCCAUAUUUUUCUUUGUGAGACCACUCUGCCCCCACUUUGUCCGUGGUUCCAGCGGUCGGCUUAGGACUGGGAUUUAGCCAAUCCAAGUGCUCUAUUCCCUUGGUCACGGCAAUCUGUUCAAGGGUGGGUAUGUGACCCAAGCCAGAUCAAUGAGUGUCUGUAUUAGUCUGUUCUCACACUGGUGUAAAAAGAUACCUGAGACUGGCUGAGUGCGGUGGCUCACGCCUGUAAUCCCAGCACUUUGGGAGGCUGAGGCAGGCGGAUCACCUGAGGUCAGGAGUUCGAGACCAUCCUGGCCAACAUGGUGAGACCCUGUCUCUAUUAAAAAUACAGAAUUAGCCAGGCGUGGUGGUGUGUGACUGUGGUCCCAGCUACUUGGGAGGCCGAGGCAGGAGAAUCGCUUGAAUCCAGGAGGCGGAGGUUGCAGUGAGCUGAGAUCACAUCACUGCACUCCAGCCUGGGAGACAGAGUGAGACUCCGUCUAAAAACAAAAAACAAAAAACAAAACAAAAAAAACCCUGAGACGGUGUAAUUUAUAAAGAAAAGAAGAAAUCAUUUUAAUUGGCCAGAUGUGGUGGCUCACGCCUGUAAUCCCAACACUUUGGGAGGCUGGGGCAGGCAGAUCACCUGAGGUUGGGAGUUCGAGACCAGCCUGACCAACAUGGUGAAACCUCGUCUGUACUCUACUAAAAAUUCAAAAAUUAGCCAGGCGUGUUGGUGCAUGCCUGUAAUCCCAACCAUUGCACUAUUGCACUCCAGCCUGGGCAACAAGAGCUCCGUUGUUUUUUUGAAACUCCGUUUCAAAAAAAAAAAAAAGAAGAAGUUUAAUUGGCUCACAGUUCUGCAGGCUGCAUAGGAAGCAUGACGCUGGCCUCUUCCCGGCUUUUGGGGAGGCCUCAGGAAACUUCCAAUCAUGGCAGAAGGCGAAGCGGGAGCAGGCACUUCACACGGCAGGAGCAGAAGCAAGAGAGAGAGCGAGGGGGUGGGGCCACACACUUUCAAACGGCCAGAUCUCUCGAGAACUCACUAUGGAGAACAGCACCGAGAGGAUGGUGCCAAACCAUUCAUGAGAAAUCCACCCCAUGAUCCAACCACCUCCCACCAGGCCCCACCUCCAACACUGAGGAUUAGGACUCAACUGGAGAUUUGGGUGGGGACCCAGAGCCAAACCAUGUCAGUGUCUAUCUGAGGCAUUUGGUUGCAACUACCAAGUAGAGACACUCUUUUUCUGUUGGGAGCACUAAGCCAGCAGUAUAGAAUCCUGCAACCGCUGGAGGCCAGUGUGCUAAGGUCUGAGAGGAGCCUGUUUGAGAGCAAAGUCAACACAGUGAAUGGAGCCAAGAAAUGGAGACAGCAAGAUCUCUGUUGGCACGCUGUGAACGCCUGGAUCCAGCCAUGCCUGAAUUUGAUCUGUGAACCUCUUGGACAUGACACAAUAUGAUCCCCACUGAUUCUUUCCCCAUCUGAGUUCAGGCUUUGUUGUUUGCAAUCACAUCCACCUGUGCUGGAACUCAGAAACCAAUACCCCAGAAUAUGGUGCUUUGACAUAUGGGACCGAAGAAGCCUUGAGGUCUCUCUGACCUUUCCCCAAAGAAGUUGAAGUUUUUUAAUUGGUCAAGUUCCAGACCCACAAGGAGCAAUUAUUUGUAAAGCCAGGAAUGUAACCAAACUUGAACAGAACUUUCCACAAAAUAGUAUGUAAACUGAUCUCUGUUCCUAGAUCCAUUUACUUUCCCUAGUAAUCCUUUAUCCCCCUCUUUUCCUGCCUCCCAUAAACUGUGCUGCCAGGAUGCUGUAUGAGCUUCUGAACCCCACUGGGGCGCAGGCACCCUGACUCUCCCUAUGUGCAUGUAAAUUAGUUUUAUGCCUUUUUUCUGUUAAUUAGUUGGCCUCAUGUCAAUGAUUUUCAACCACUGUCAAUUUUUUCAGAUGAUUCUUUUUUUUUUUUUUCAGACAGGUCUCUCUCUGUCGCCCAGGCUGGAGUGCAGUGGUGUGAUCUUAGCUCACUGCAGCCUCGACCUCCAGGGGCUCAGGUAUCCUCCUACCUCAGCCUUCUGAGUAGCUGGGACCGCGGGCAUGCACCACCACACCUGGCUAAUUUUUAAAAUUAUUUGUAGAGACGGGGUCUUCCUAUGUUGCCCAGGCUGGUCUCGAACUCCUGGACUCCAGUGGUCAGCCGGCCUCAACCUCCCGAAGUGCUGGGAUUACAGGUGUGAGCCACUGUGCCCAGCCUGAGAUAAAUCUAUUGAGUUUUCACUGUGAACAAUGAGGAUGUAGCUCAUUUUUGUUCUCCCUGUCCCCACCACACAGAAACUCUCUGCCCUUCUCUUCCUCCUGAUUGAGUUACGUUGUGAUUUUGUUUAGAUCCACAUUCACUGCUUGUUUUUUGUUUUUUUUUUUUGAGACGGAGUCUGGCUCUGUCGCCCAGGCUGGAGUGCGGUGGUGUGAUCUCGGCUCACUGCCAGCUCCGCCUCCCGGGUUCAUGCCAUUCUCCUGCCUCAGCCCCCUGAGUAGCUGGGACUACAGGGGCACGCCACAGCGCCCGGGUAAUUUUUGUAUUAUUAGUAGAUGAGGGGCUUCACCGUGUUGUUCAGGCUGGUGCCCUUGGUCAUCCACAGGUGUGGGCCAAGCUAAGUUUGGGAGAAAUGUAGUUUAUAGUUUAAAUGAUAAUAGCCCUUUCCAAAACUAAAUUGCCUUUGUAAAACUAAUGAAAGGCCACCGGGUUAGGGGGAUGACAGGGGCAUGAAUUCCACGAAGAUGUGGGUGCCGUGAGAUGAUUCCCAGCCACUAUUCCAAAGGCCACUGGGUUAAGAGGAGGAAAGGGGCAUGAAUUCCGCGAAUAUGUGGGUGCUGUGAGAUGAUUCCCAUGAGAAGUCACAAGAUUUGCAACUUCCCCAAUGACUCCUGUAAAUAACAUCACUACUGUAAGACCUAAGAUUGGCCUUUUGAGAUCUCUUUUCAGGGUUUCAGGUUACUGAUGACCGGAAGGCCCCACCCAAACCAGCAGCUCCUCUGUGGCCACUACCCAGAGGCUGCCUCAGAGCACAAGGGCCAAUUUCCACACCCCCGUGAUUGCCCCCCCAGCUGAUCAGCAGCACACGUCCCAUAGCUCCCUGCCCACCAAACUCUCCUUAAGAGACCUUCGCCUCUGAAUUUUGGGGCAGGCUGAUUUGAGUAAUAAUAAAACUCUGGUCU
Molecule: long non-coding RNA, 7554 nt
Filed under: Homo sapiens (human)
Lineage: Eukaryota; Metazoa; Chordata; Mammalia; Primates; Hominidae
Description: HSALNT0067328
Source: RNAcentral